RNAcentral lists this ribosomal RNA (460 nucleotides) under uncultured bacterium. RNAcentral describes it as "partial 16S ribosomal RNA". It matches the Rfam family "Bacterial small subunit ribosomal RNA", at positions 338 to 795 of the family's 1533-position model. The record is from RNAcentral.
CCUACGGGAGGCAGCAGUGAGGAAUAUUGGUCAAUGGACGAGAGUCUGAACCAGCCAAGUAGCGUGAAGGAUGACUGCCCUAUGGGUUGUAAACUUCUUUUAUAUGGGAAUAAAAUGUUCCACGUGUGGGAUUUUGUAUGUACCAUAUGAAUAAGGAUCGGCUAACUCCGUGCCAGCAGCCGCGGUAAUACGGAGGAUCCGAGCGUUAUCCGGAUUUAUUGGGUUUAAAGGGAGCGUAGGUGGAUUGUUAAGUCAGUUGUGAAAGUUUGCGGCUCAACCGUAAAAUUGCAGUUGAAACUGGCAGUCUUGAGUACAGUAGAGGUGGGCGGAAUUCGUGGUGUAGCGGUGAAAUGCUUAGAUAUCACGAAGAACCCCGAUUGCGAAGGCAGUUCACUGGACUGCAACUGACACUGAGGCUCGAAAGUGUGGGUAUCAAACAGGAUUAGAUACCCCAGUAGUC